This 324-nucleotide ribosomal RNA is filed under the name uncultured bacterium. RNAcentral describes it as "bacterial SSU rRNA". It matches the Rfam family "Bacterial small subunit ribosomal RNA", at positions 28 to 334 of the family's 1533-position model. The record is from RNAcentral.
GAUGAACGCUGGCGGCGUGCCUAACACAUGCAAGUCGAACGAAGCGAUUUAACGGAAGUUUUCGGAUGGAAGUUGAAUUGACUGAGUGGCGGACGGGUGAGUAACGCGUGGGUAACCUGCCUUGUACUGGGGGACAACAGUUAGAAAUGACUGCUAAUACCGCAUAAGCGCACAGUGCUGCAUGGCACAGUGUGAAAAACUCCGGUGGUAUGAGAUGGACCCGCGUCUGAUUAGCUAGUUGGUGGGGUAACGGCCUACCAAGGCGACGAUCAGUAGCCGGCCUGAGAGGGUGAACGGCCACAUUGGGACUGAGACACGGCCCAA